GACGUGAACAUCAGGUGCUUACGUACUGACGGAAUAGUGCGUCGAGCCUAGCCUUUGGGCGAAGCAAAAGCAAGUAGUGUCCACCAAGAAAAGCUACCAAAGCUUCAGCUGUAAGGAACUCGUACCGCAAACCAACACAGGUAGUCGAGGAGAGUAUCCACAGGUGCUCGAGUGAUUCAUGGCUAAGGAACUAGGCAAAUUGACCCUGUAACUUCGGAAGAAAGGGUCCCCGACUACGGUCGGGGCGCAGAGAAAUGGCCCAGGCGACUGUUUAACAAAAACACAUGGCUUUGCUAAAUCGAAAGAUGACGUAUAAGGCCUGACACCUGCCCGGUGCUGGAAGGUUAAGGGGAGAGGUUAUCCCGACUCGUCGGGAGAAGCUUCAAACUGAAGCCCCAGUAAACGGCGGCCGUAACUAUAACGGUCCUAAGGUAGCGAAAUUCCUUGUCGGGUAAGUUCCGACCUGCACGAAUGGUGUAACGAUCUGGGCACUGUCUCAGCCAUGAGCUCGGUGAAAUUGUAGUAGCGGUGAAGAUGCCGCUUACCCGCAACGGGACGGGAAGACCCCGUGAACCUUUACUAUAGCUUAACAUUGACUCUGGAUAAAUGAUGUGUAGGAUAGGUGGGAGACUGUGAAGUCCCAACGCCAGUUGGGAUGGAGUCAACCUUGAAAUACCACCCUUCGUUUAUUCGGAGCCUAAUCCCCUCUAUCGCGGGAAACAGUGUUUGGUGGGUAGUUUGACCGGGGUGGUCGCCUCCAAAAACGUAACGGAGGCUCUCAAAGGUACCCUCAGCACGCUUGGUAACCGUGCGUCGAGUGCAAUGGCAUAAGGGUGCUUGACUGCGAGACUUACUAGUCGAACAGGUAGGAAACUAGGACAUAGUGAUCCGGUGGUCCCAUAUGGAAGGGCCACCGCUCAAAGGAUAAAAGGUACUCCCGGGAUAACAGGCUGAUCACUCCCAAGAGCUCACAUCGACGGAGUGGUUUGGCACCUCGAUGUCGGCUCGUCAUAUCCUGGGGCUGGAGAAGGUCCCAAGGGUUCGGCUGUUCGCCGAUUAAAAUGGCACGCGAGCUGGGUUCAGAACGUCGUGAGACAGUUCGGUCCCUAUCUGUUGCGGGCGUGGGAAGUUUGAGGGGACCUGACCUUAGUACGAGAGGACCGGGUUGGACAAACCGCUGGUGUACCUGCUGUGGCGCCUAGCUGCACCGCAGGGUAGCUAUGUUUGGACGAGAGAAGUGCUGAAAGCAUCUAAGUACGAAACUCACCCCAAGAUGAGACUUCCAUUGAGGGCCCUUGUAGACUACAAGGUCGAUAGGCUGCAGGUGUAAAGAUGGUAACAUCCGUGCCAAGCAGUACUAAUCGCCCAAUACUUUAUCUC
RNAcentral lists this ribosomal RNA (1380 nucleotides) under metagenome. Its description in RNAcentral is "bacterial LSU rRNA". It matches the Rfam family "Bacterial large subunit ribosomal RNA", at positions 1471 to 2925 of the family's 2925-position model. The record is from RNAcentral.